GAGAAAACCAAAUUAGCCUCUCUGCAGCUCAGGGUGGCCAAGGGAGAAAGUAGAAGGAAUGGCCUGUUAGAAAAAUCUUUUAGAGAGGCUGGCUUGGCUGGCAGAACCACUGUUUUUCCCUCUCCCAUUUCCUACUGCUGCUGGCUUGGAGCACGGAUAGGCGGGCUGCAUCUCCGUCUGGUAGGAGCCUUCUGGGAUCACAAGCCUCAUCUUUGGUGUAAUCACUACAUGACUGUCAGAAUUUGUAGGUUUCAAAAACAGACACAUAGACCAAUGGAACAGAAUAGAGAACCCGGAAGUGGACCCUCGGCUCUUUGGGCAACUAAUCUUUGAUAAAGCAGGAAAAAACAUCUGGUGGAAAA
Molecule: long non-coding RNA, 362 nt
Filed under: Ailuropoda melanoleuca (giant panda)
Lineage: Eukaryota; Metazoa; Chordata; Mammalia; Carnivora; Ursidae
Description: lncRNA (ENSAMEG00000030537.1)
Source: RNAcentral